GCUGGCUGGGCGAGUGGCCCCGCAUGUGUGCCUGCAUGGAAGCCAGGCUGGGGCAGCCGGCUCCGCACAGAGAGCAGCGACAGAACAAGAAUAGGGCCUGGACCGAGCAGGAGGAGGCCUGAAAGGCUGUUGGCGAGAUGGGCAGCCUGCUUUGCCCACAUGACCCACACAGGUUGCAAGUGCACCUGUGGGGACAAAGAAGGUAAAGGAGGGCAGAGCUGGGAAUCCCAGAGUCGGAUCACUGGAACACCCAGGCAAGAUAUCAGGGGCUACAAUGGGACUGAAGCAAAAGUAUCCUCACCCUACCCACCUGUGUGCCUCUGAUCAGACUCUUCCAUCUCCCCAGCGCUGAGCUUUGCGGGGCCCUGGGGGAGGGAACCUGGAGAGAACAGAGUGAAGUAGGGGCCCUACUCAGGCUGGACUCCUGCAGCCCCAGCCCCAGCAGAGAGACCAUAUUACAGGGUUCAUGCAGGACAGUGAAGGGCUUACCUGAGGUAGAGCUAGAGAAGGCCAACUGAUUCUGGCUCCUGAGCCCUUUGUGGAGGUUCAGGGACAGUGGAAUCCUAGGGGUGGGGUGGAGAAGAGUAACAGAGUUGGCAAAACCUGGGAUCCUGACCAACCCCAUCCUGGAGAGGAAGGUGAUGUAUAUUCUCAGGUGCUGGGCUUUGGUUUCCCCUGUGGUGGGAGCUUUUUGUCCUAUCUCCAGUUCAGGAAAUGUACAAUAGAGAUAAAAGAUGUGGUGCCCUUUCACCAAUCACCCUUGCCUCACCUGAGCUACUCCCUCCCAGAUAGGCUUCCAUUGGGCCCUUCACUCACCUCUGAUCCUGAGGCCAGACCUCUUGCCAGGCUGCACUGAUGGAAGUACUAUGGGAGAAAGGAGUGCCAUAUCUGGGCGGCAAUAGCAGGAGGCUCCACAGGGCAGGCUGGCUCUCCCUCAACCAAGGGGCCUCAGCCCACCAGGGCCUAGAGAGUCAAAGAAGUGUAUCUGAGGCAACAAAAAACUCUGAACUAAUCAGAUCUGCAUUUGAGUCUCAUCUCUGCCAUUUACUAGUUGAGUCACCUUGGGCAAAUCAUCUCUCUGAGCCUCCCUUACUUACCUCAUUCAUGAAAUAGGAGGUGUCAGCGGAGCUCCAGCAGAUGAAAGCGGUUUCUACUAUCUCAGAGGCAAAAAGGACUGGAAUAUCUGGAUUCCAAGGAGAGAGUGAAGGAGAGCCGAAAGCAUGCCUGACUUGAUACUAGGAAGCCUUGACUGCUUUGUGGAAAUGACCUCUGUCAUUUGAGCCAUCACUGAGGACUGCGUGUGUGAGUGACUCAGAUCCUCCCAUCAAACUCUGAAGGGGGUAACCCCAGAAAGGGUCUGUGGUGGUCUUUGAAGAGAAAAACUCCUUUUCUUGG
This is a long non-coding RNA of Myotis brandtii (Brandt's bat), 1395 nucleotides long. RefSeq lists it as uncharacterized. Lineage: Eukaryota; Metazoa; Chordata; Mammalia; Chiroptera; Vespertilionidae. The transcript is spliced from 4 exons. The record is from RefSeq and is a predicted model, not a curated record.